CAUCAUUAUUAUUGAUGUAAUGAUAAUCUGAAAAGAGGUGUUGUGUGAGAUUAUCUAUGGACAUGGGGAGAGAUAUGACGACGGAACAGCAGCGAUUGGUUUCACCUGGCUUUUUAAGAUGCUGAACCGUGCCAACACAGUCGGGAUACUUAUCAAGG
This is a long non-coding RNA of Eurytemora carolleeae, 158 nucleotides long. RefSeq lists it as uncharacterized. Lineage: Eukaryota; Metazoa; Arthropoda; Copepoda; Calanoida; Temoridae. The record is from RefSeq and is a predicted model, not a curated record. The transcript is spliced from 2 exons.